CUGAGAGAGCGACUAGCCCAAGGUCACCAAGCAGGCUUCAUGUGGAGGAAUGUUCUUCAGGCUAUCUGGAGGGGGUCAUCAGCUGGCAGGAAGGAUAUUUCUCUGCAGAGUACGCUUUCUAUUCUGCACAGAUCUGGGCCCCUCUGAAAACAUCUAAAAGGACAACAGCAUUUUUCUAAGGCUCAGAAUAAAUUCUCCAACAAGUUCCUUCCUGUCCAACUCCAGUGAGAAAAAUCACGGCUUUUCUGAGCCUGUAAUUCAAGAUACAAUCCAUAAAUUAUCCUCUGAAGAAAGCAAAAGAAAGAGAUUAUUCUGCUGAGUUGCAUGCAUCACCCUCAGCAUGUGCAGCUGAGAA
Sphaerodactylus townsendi is the source of this 355-nucleotide long non-coding RNA. RefSeq lists it as uncharacterized. The record is from RefSeq and is a predicted model, not a curated record. Lineage: Eukaryota; Metazoa; Chordata; Lepidosauria; Squamata; Sphaerodactylidae. The transcript has 3 exons.